RNAcentral lists this ribosomal RNA (484 nucleotides) under uncultured bacterium. RNAcentral describes it as "partial 16S ribosomal RNA". It matches the Rfam family "Bacterial small subunit ribosomal RNA", at positions 30 to 507 of the family's 1533-position model. The record is from RNAcentral.
AUUGAACGCUGGCGGCAGGCCUAACACAUGCAAGUCGAGCGGAUGAAGGGAGCUUUCUCCUGGAUUCAGCGGCGGACGGGUGAGUAAUGCCUAGGAAGCUGCCUGGUAGUGGGGGAUAACGUCCGGAAACGGGCGCUAAUACCGCAUACGUCCUGAUGGAGAAAGUGGGGGAUCUUCGGACCUCACGCUAUCAGAUGAGCCUAGGUCGGAUUAGCUAGUUGGUGGGGUAAAGGCCUACCAAGGCGACGAUCCGUAACUGGUCUGAGAGGGUGAUCAGUCACACUGGAACUGAGACACGGUCCAGACUCCUACGGGAGGCAGCAGUGGGGAAUCUUGGACAAUGGGCGAAAGCCUGAUCCAGCCAUGCCGCGUGUGUGAAGAAGGUCUUCGGAUUGUAAAGCACUUUAAGUUGGGAGGAAGGGCAGUAAGUUAAUACCUUGAUGUUUUGACGUUACCAACAGAAUAAGCAACGGCUAACUUCGUG